AAACUUUCAACAACGGAUCUCUUGGUUCUGGCAUCGAUGAAGAACGCAGCAAAAAUGCGAUAAGUAAUGUGAAUUGCAGAAAUUCAGUGAAUCAUCGAAUCUUUGAACGCACAAUUGCGCCCGCUGGUAUUUCCGGCGGGCUAUGCCUGUUCGAGCGUCAAUU
Molecule: ribosomal RNA, 163 nt
Filed under: uncultured Fusarium
Lineage: Eukaryota; Fungi; Ascomycota; Sordariomycetes; Hypocreales; Nectriaceae
Description: 5.8S ribosomal RNA
Rfam family: 5.8S ribosomal RNA
About the family: 5.8S ribosomal RNA (5.8S rRNA) is a component of the large subunit of the eukaryotic ribosome. It is transcribed by RNA polymerase I as part of the 45S precursor that also contains 18S and 28S rRNA.
Source: RNAcentral